Mus pahari (shrew mouse) is the source of this 1216-nucleotide long non-coding RNA. RefSeq lists it as uncharacterized. The record is from RefSeq and is a predicted model, not a curated record. The transcript is spliced from 3 exons. Lineage: Eukaryota; Metazoa; Chordata; Mammalia; Rodentia; Muridae.
CAGAGAACAGGACAACCACACAACAUGAUUCAGUAGUCAUGUGAUGAUUUAUUUAUGCUUGGAAGGCAUGCGCUGAAGACAACUCCCUCAUGAAUGCUUGCCUGGAGAUGUGAAGAACCACACCCACCAGCUUGAAGCUCAGUCACAUGAAGAGGAGCAGUCAUUGGAGUACUUACGUCUGGAUCUUUGAAGGAAGAACAUUCAUAGCUGGAGAGACUAUGAAAUGAUCUCUAAAGAAAUGAUAGAGGCAAUAGAUUGACAGAAAACAUCUGUGUCUCCAAGACUGAAUGCCUGAUUCUACAUCAACUGGCUCCUUGUUCAGUGGCUUCCAGUAGCAUCUGUUUAGCUCAGCAGUCGGCCUCCCCAUGCCUUUCUUCCUCAUAUCUGUAUGCUCACAUUUCCUCUCUUUGCUGUCAUUGCAGGAGCAUUCCUAAAAACCUGUCAUCUCAUCCACUUCCUCCUUACAAAUCUUCAGAACUUACCAGGUCUGAUCCAGACUUCUUAGUGUGCUAACGAAGCUCUUCCUCAGCUGGUCCCAGCCUCAUUGCCUGGCCUUUCCUUACAAAGGCUGAGGAAUUUAACAGUCAUCUGUGUCAGCUAUCAACCACGGUGUAACAAACCACUUCCAAACUUACAGCCUUCAGAGUCUGAUUUCCUAUUCCCCAGCAUUCUCUGCAUGUCUGGCCGGUUUCUGUUCUCCGUUGAUGUUACUCACGUGGCUGCCUUUGACUGUAGCCGGACUGGACUCUGAGUCCAUCAAGGCUUCUCGAACAUCCCUGGGUCUUUGUUCUGUCAUCUGGAAGCUUCAGCGCCCUUCCAUGUGGGCCACCCUCCAUGCAGUGUCUCAUCCUCUGGGUCUUCUCCACGUGGCCUCUGUCUCCUUCAGAACAGCGUGGAUCGCCUUACAAAUACUGGACUCAAAAGCGGUCAAAGCUGAAGAAAAUAGAAGUCCAUAGCACACACAGUGAACUUGUGCCAGGCUCUAUCGGCCAAAGCAAGUCCCAGACACUUAGUCUUUUGAAGGGAGUCAUAUAAGGGAAGCUGGAACCAUCUCAUUUCUUCAGCAUAGGUCCCCUUUCCUUACUCUUCCCAGCCCUCCCCACAGAGCUGUCCUUAGUACAAGAGUAUUACAGCCUUUGAGGAGAAGGCUGCAGGGCUAGACUUCCUGAGGUUUUCUUUAAUUUUAUUAAUUUUUAAUGUUAGCUUUGAAGGUUUC